This is a long non-coding RNA of Nerophis lumbriciformis (worm pipefish), 573 nucleotides long. RefSeq lists it as uncharacterized. NCBI's taxonomy places the organism in Eukaryota, Metazoa, Chordata, Actinopteri, Syngnathiformes, Syngnathidae. The record is from RefSeq and is a predicted model, not a curated record.
GAGGAAGCGAACGGAAGGAAGAGCGACCGGAGAGUAUCGACAGGCUUUGCCAAGAGUGUCCGGGUGGACGCCCGCAGGCUGGGAAGGAAUCCAGGACUACGCAGCAGACCCCGCAAGCUACCGGAGUGAACCCCAAGAAGCCCACAACACGCAGGGGCAGAGGCAACUCUGCCUCCAAAGAGCAGUCGGGACCCAGAGACCUGCGGUGACUCCCAGGAGCGACCAAGAGGCGGGGCGAGACGGGACGCGUACGGCCACGUAGGUCCCACCAGAGACUGGUGAGGAGAGUGGGCGUACUCAAUAUUUCUACGCGGAACUACAGCAGAGGUUGCGUGCAAGUGUGACGUCAGCCCUGAGAGCGUCUCCGUGUUUUUAAAUGAUUUUAUCCCCGUGGCCUGCCUCCGAUUUAAUUUGUGUGCAGGAGGACGCUGUGGAAGUGAGCGGAGCCAGGACACUGACCACGCCUGUCGUGGCUGUAACCUCACCUAUAUUUUGUUUACCAAUUGGUAUUUUUAGUGUCAUCCACUUGACUGUUUUUUAAUCUAUAUUGUAAUAAAUUGUAAAUGAGCAUCA